AUACGUAGGGGGCGAGCGUUGUCCGGAAUGAUUGGGCGUAAAGGGCGCGUAGGCGGCGCGGUAAGUCUGGAGUGAAAGUCCUGCUUUCAAGGUGGGAAUUGCUUUGGAUACUGCCGCGCUUGAGUGCAGGAGAGGUUAUCGGAAUUCCCGGUGUAGCGGUGAAAUGCGUAGAGAUCGGGAGGAACACCAGUGGCGAAGGCGGGUAACUGGACUGCAACUGACGCUGAGGCGCGAAAGUGUGGGGAGCAAACAGGAUUAGAUACCCUGGUAGUCCACAUUGUAAACGAUGAAUACUAGGUGUGGGGGGACUGACCCCUUCCGUGCCGGAGUAAACACAAUAAGUAUUCCACCUGGGGAGUACGACCGCAAGGUUGAAACUCAAAUGAAUUGACGGGG
This 396-nucleotide ribosomal RNA is filed under the name uncultured bacterium. RNAcentral describes it as "partial 16S ribosomal RNA". It matches the Rfam family "Bacterial small subunit ribosomal RNA", at positions 523 to 918 of the family's 1533-position model. The record is from RNAcentral.